AAAGGUCAAACUGCUUGACACAGUGACACUUGUCAAAGUAGAUAUGUUUGACCAUAUAGAACAAAAAAGAACACCGCAAAGUAGAUUCAAGUGUAAAAAUUACUUAAUCUAGCAUCUACCAUUGGAGUGUAGCUAACAAGGAAUCAGUUUCUCCAUUACUACUACUACCAUGAUUGUGUUGUACUCUUAUUGGUUAAGCUCAUGCUCAUGGCGUAUCCGCUUUGCUUUGUGCCUCAAAGGGAUUCCUUAUGAGUAUAAAGCAGUGGAUCUUGUAAAAGGGGAACAGUUUAGUCCAGAGUUUGAGAAAUUGAACCCUCUCCAUUGUGUUCCGGUAUUAGCUGAUGAUCAUGUGGUGGUUUCAGACUCUUAUGCAAUCUUUCUGUAUUUGGAGGAAAAGUAUACUCAAAAGCCACUUUUGCCAGUUGAUCCUCAGAUCCGAGCUCUCAAUCUUCAGAUAGCAAGUAUGAUUAACUCCAGCAUUCAACCUUAUCAUAUGAUUAGUGCUUUGAAAGAUAUGGAGAAAAUGUUUGGUGCUGAAACAAAACAGUGGGCACAAUAUAAGAUUGACAAAGGUUUCUGGGCUCUUGAGAAGUUAUUGAAGGAUGUUGCUGGAAAAUAUGCAACAGGGGAACAUAUCUACAUGGCUGAUGUAUUCUUGGCUCCACAGAUUAUGCAAGCAGUUAAUAGGUUUGAUAUUGAUAUGGUAAAGUAUAGAGUAAAUAGACAAAAGUAUACGUGAUAGAAUGUGGGAUAGACUAAAGUACACACACAAGAUUGUAAACAUCAAAGUACACCCGGAAAAUUGUUUUCGAUGGACAACAUUGUCAUGCCGUUAGUGAUUUUGUAAGACUUAGGAGUGUAUUUUUGUCCUUUGAAAUCAGUAUUUUGGGUGUGAUUUCAUAUUUACGAACUUUGGUGCGUAAUUUUGUCAACGACAAACUCUUUCAUGUGUAAUUUUGUUCAUUUAUUCAAAAGUAUAUAUACAUCUCGUGGUUUAUUGAUACAAUUCUCUUAUUUGUGGUUUACAUAGAAAAGCUAGGUGUAUAAGUGAUUUCUGACCCGCACAAACAUACUUGGCUUUUCUUAAUAUUUCAGAAGUGUUGUCAAAUCAUAUAAAAGUGUUGGAUAUACUUGAUUGGAAGUGAGUCAAGUCAGCUCAUGAGCCAGUUCGAACUCGACUCGUCAAUAGCUCGAUAAGUGAAUUCGUGAGCUGUCCAAAUACCCUACUCUGAGGAGGUUGUCUGAAACAUACAAAGGUUUAGCAGAGUUCCAUGCCUCAUCACCACAAAGUCAACCUGAUGCUUGCAUUACCAAUAAUAACCUUUGACUAGCUAGUCAAUAGUUAUUAUGUAGAGAUCUUCUAUAUCUUCAUUCUGUAGGGAAUAUUGUUGCUGUAAACUUGUAAUAUUUUGAAUUUGUUAAUGG
This is an RNA transcript of Arachis stenosperma, 1425 nucleotides long. It is a transcript of the gene named glutathione S-transferase zeta class-like, with no coding region annotated. The transcript has 9 exons. NCBI's taxonomy places the organism in Eukaryota, Viridiplantae, Streptophyta, Magnoliopsida, Fabales, Fabaceae. The record is from RefSeq and is a predicted model, not a curated record.